This 1179-nucleotide ribosomal RNA is filed under the name Enterobacter asburiae. RNAcentral describes it as "bacterial SSU rRNA". It matches the Rfam family "Bacterial small subunit ribosomal RNA", at positions 35 to 1232 of the family's 1533-position model. Lineage: Bacteria; Pseudomonadati; Pseudomonadota; Gammaproteobacteria; Enterobacterales; Enterobacteriaceae. The record is from RNAcentral.
UCUGGCGGCGGACUACACAUGCAGUCGAGCGGCAGCGGAAGUAGCUUGCUACUUUGCCGGCGAGCGGCGGACGGGUGAGUAAUGUCUGGGAAACUGCCUGAUGGAGGGGGAUAACUACUGGAAACGGUAGCUAAUACCGCAUAACGUCGCAAGACCAAAGAGGGGGACCUUCGGGCCUCUUGCCAUCAGAUGUGCCCAGAUGGGAUUAGCUAGUAGGUGGGGUAACGGCUCACCUAGGCGACGAUCCCUAGCUGGUCUGAGAGGAUGACCAGCCACACUGGAACUGAGACACGGUCCAGACUCCUACGGGAGGCAGCAGUGGGGAAUAUUGCACAAUGGGCGCAAGCCUGAUGCAGCCAUGCCGCGUGUAUGAAGAAGGCCUUCGGGUUGUAAAGUACUUUCAGCGGGGAGGAAGGUGUUGAGGUUAAUAACCUCAGCAAUUGACGUUACCCGCAGAAGAAGCACCGGCUAACUCCGUGCCAGCAGCCGCGGUAAUACGGAGGGUGCAAGCGUUAAUCGGAAUUACUGGGCGUAAAGCGCACGCAGGCGGUCUGUCAAGUCAGAUGUGAAAUCCCCGGGCUCAACCUGGGAACUGCAUUCGAAACUGGCAGGCUAGAGUCUUGUAGAGGGGGGUAGAAUUCCAGGUGUAGCGGUGAAAUGCGUAGAGAUCUGGAGGAAUACCGGUGGCGAAGGCGGCCCCCUGGACAAAGACUGACGCUCAGGUGCGAAAGCGUGGGGAGCAAACAGGAUUAGAUACCCUGGUAGUCCACGCCGUAAACGAUGUCGACUUGGAGGUUGUGCCCUUGAGGCGUGGCUUCCGGAGCUAACGCGUUAAGUCGACCGCCUGGGGAGUACGGCCGCAAGGUUAAAACUCAAAUGAAUUGACGGGGGCCCGCACAAGCGGUGGAGCAUGUGGUUUAAUUCGAUGCAACGCGAAGAACCUUACCUACUCUUGACAUCCAGAGAACUUUCCAGAGAUGGAUUGGUGCCUUCGGGAACUCUGAGACAGGUGCUGCAUGGCUGUCGUCAGCUCGUGUUGUGAAAUGUGGUAGUCCCGCCACGAGCGCAACCUUAUCCUUUGUGGCAGCGUCGGCGGACUCAAGAACUGCAGUGAUACCUGGAGAGUGGAUGACUCAAGUCAUCUAUGCUUACGGAUAGGCUACACACGUGUCUAACAUG